Ornithorhynchus anatinus (platypus) is the source of this 1268-nucleotide long non-coding RNA. RefSeq lists it as uncharacterized. Lineage: Eukaryota; Metazoa; Chordata; Mammalia; Monotremata; Ornithorhynchidae. The record is from RefSeq and is a predicted model, not a curated record. The transcript has 3 exons.
GCAAAGGCUGCUGGGUAGGCUGGACUCGGGCGGGGAAAAGAUGGCUAAUAAAGGCCCGCAGAAGCGGCCUAUUCGCCCUAUCCGUCCUUCUCUCUCGUCUCUUCCUUUCCCCCCCAGACCUCCACCCUCCUCUCCUGCCAUUUUUUUAGGUCCCCGUCGUUUCUGUCAUAAAUUGGGGCGGCCCCAAAGGGACCCCUUGUCUUGGGUCGGGCAGGACCGGCCCGAGGGCUUCUGGGAAGCAGGUGCCCCAGCGCGCCCCGAAGGAAAACGGUGAAGUAACUGAGGCACACAGAAGUGAAGUAACUUGCCCACAAUCACAGAGCUGAUGGAAGACGGAGAGAGACUAACCACCCCCCGCUGCUGAGAAGUCCACCCGCCAUUUGGAGUCCAGCCUGAGCUGAACAUCAUGUCCCUUUCCCAGCCUGUCGAGCACCGGACCAGACGGGAGGUGAGGUUGGACCGAUCAGGAAGUACCUGAGGACCGCACCUCUGAUCCGACGGCUCCCUCCCCGAAGGGCAGGUAGAGAGUGGGAUUGAGCCAACUGAGGGGGGGCUAGAUACAACGGGGUCAGGGACCGGGGACCCACGGACCAAAAUCUCGCCCCACAGAACCUGUCGAGUGGGCAGGUAAGGUGUCUGUCUAUUGCCCUAUUGUGCUUUCCAAGUGCUUAGAAGAGUGCUCUGCACACAAGCGCUCAAUAAACACGACUGAACGAACCUGUCCGUGUCAGCCUUGCCGCCUCUGUAGGGGGAGGGUGGUCCCGGAGUCAGGGGCUGCCCCUGAGGUACAGCGUGUGGGUCUGGGUCUGGGGGACCUGCCCCGAGGGGGAACCUCACACCUUCCUCUCUGAAGAAUCCUCAUCCGGCCUCCGGGAAGGCAGAGAUCAGAUGCUAUGUAUCAUUCCCAGAAGCCCUUUCUCUCCACAUCACCAGCUCCGCCAGAUGCUUCCUUCAACUCCCUCCCGCCGAUAGGGGCCAACCGGUCUUGGGCGACUAAUUUUUUUCCCCCUCUCGACACCCAGGGGUGGAGGAGGGGCAUUGGCCAGCCCCUGAGACGUGUGGGUGCCCGAGGGGUGGCCUUUCCUCUCUAGUGAGCCUGGGAAACUCUCGUCCUUCAGGUCCGGGCAGGGCCUUGGGUGAGGGGGUUCAUUGGUCGAUUCUGGAUUUCGGCGAGGGGCUCUCAUUGGCGUGGUAGGACUCGGUGCCUGGCUCCUCCCUGAGGUGUUUCUCUGCGGGAAAUAAAAAAGGUGGUAUUUGUUAAGCAUUUA